UUAUGAAACUGAAACAAAACCUAACACUCAGCACAAAACAUGGCUUUCUCAAACUAUGAAUGAGCUAUUCUCUCUACUUCGUGGCGCACAACAGAUCUCCUCUACCCAAAUUAUCAAAAUGAACUCCUCUAUUUCAGUCCUAACCCAACAUCAAUCUCUCCUUGAUUAAGUGUUAAUAGAUUUAGGGUUUCUCCAAGAUUGGGGAUUUAGGGUGUUUUUCGAUUAAGUGUUCUGCUCAAGAUUGAGGAUUUUGGGUUUUUUUUUUUUUUUUUUUACUGCAUUAGGCAAAGGCGACUACCUCGUCUAGUUCUCUUGGCGACGACCCAGUCCCGGCGACGACCUCAUCACGUUCUCUCAACAUCACACUAUCAGUCAGUCAAUCUAGAUCUGUCUCUCUCUGAGUGAGCUCAACGAUCCUGAGAAUGCUAUAAUUGGAGCUUUUGCAGGUUGGUGAUCCUCUUGAAAAGGCUGCACAUAAAGGAAUAGAUUGGAGCUUUAAUUGAUGAGAAGGCCAUGCCAAAAAGCCAGAUAAAUGCUGGGGAGGAAUUUGCUUGCUAGGGUGACUUGAAAGGAAUGCAGCUCUGAUCUUUUCUUGGCAUCAUACUCUGUUUGGUACCAAAAGCUUCUAUCACCUCUUCAGGUGUAUUUGAUACUUGACAAAUUCAGUCUUGCUAGAGAGCUUCAAGAAACAAAAAAGAAGAUAUAUUCACCAGGAUUGGAUUCAGCUCCACUUAGAUGGGUCAAUUUUGCUAAUGGAUUGCUACUUUUCCUAUACCAGCUGAAGACUACAUAAUGAAGGUUCGAUGUUGGACAAGGAGUUCAGAAGUUCAAAGCGGGCGAUAAUUAAUGUUAUAGCAUUUCACCAUGUGAGAAGAGCCUCUGCUUCAGAAUUGGAAUGAACAGUAGUAGUAAGAGAAAAUGCUAACAACUGAAGCUGCUUUGUGUUAACUACUUGUUUCUAUGUACUUAUUAUGUCAAGAUAAUGUACUGAUGACUUGUACAUAUGGAGUUGUUAAUAUAAUAUAUAACUGAUUCUUUGCCUAUA
Long non-coding RNA from Rosa chinensis, 1045 nucleotides. RefSeq lists it as uncharacterized. The transcript has 7 exons. Lineage: Eukaryota; Viridiplantae; Streptophyta; Magnoliopsida; Rosales; Rosaceae. The record is from RefSeq and is a predicted model, not a curated record.